Molecule: ribosomal RNA, 441 nt
Filed under: uncultured delta proteobacterium
Lineage: Bacteria; Deltaproteobacteria
Description: bacterial SSU rRNA
Rfam family: Bacterial small subunit ribosomal RNA
Source: RNAcentral
GAGUUUGAUCAUGGCUCAGAACGAACGUUAGCGGCGCGCCUAACACAUGCAAGUCGAGCGAGAAAGGGAGCAAUCCCCGGUACAGCGGCGCACGGGUGAGUAACACGUAGGUAACCUACCUCCGAGUGGUGGAUAACCUUCCGAAAGGAGGGCUAAUACAGCAUGAGCCCACGAUUCCGAGAGGAGUUGAGGGAAAAGUCGGCCAAUCCACGGAAGCUGACGCUUGGAGACGGGCCUGCGGCCCAUCAGCUAGUUGGUGAGGUAAUGGCUCACCAAGGCGAAGACGGGUAGCUGGUCUGAGAGGAUGAUCAGCCACACUGGAACUGAGACACGGUCCAGACUCCUACGGGAGGCAGCAGUGGGGAAUCUUGCGCAAUGGGCGAAAGCCUGACGCAGCGACGCCGCGUGGGUGAUGAAGGCCUUCGGUUGUAAGCCCUGUGG